This 64-nucleotide transfer RNA is filed under the name Absicoccus porci. It matches the Rfam family "tRNA", at positions 5 to 66 of the family's 71-position model. From Rfam's summary of the family: Transfer RNA (tRNA) molecules are approximately 80 nucleotides in length. Their secondary structure includes four short double-helical elements and three loops (D, anti-codon, and T loops). Lineage: Bacteria; Bacillati; Bacillota; Erysipelotrichia; Erysipelotrichales; Erysipelotrichaceae. The record is from RNAcentral.
CCAUAGCUCAGCGGUAGAGCGUCCGGCUGUUAACCGGCAGGUCAUAAGUUCGAAUCUUAUUGGA